Molecule: ribosomal RNA, 1007 nt
Filed under: human gut metagenome
Description: bacterial LSU rRNA
Rfam family: Bacterial large subunit ribosomal RNA
Source: RNAcentral
GUAAACGGCGGCCGUAACUAUAACGGUCCUAAGGUAGCGAAAUUCCUUGUCGGGUAAGUUCCGACCUGCACGAAUGGCAUAACGAUGGCCACACUGUCUCCUCCCGAGACUCAGUGAAGUUGAAAUGUUUGUGAUGAUGCAAUCUACCCGCGGCUAGACGGGAAGACCCCAUGAACCUUUACUGCAGCUUUGCAUUGAACUGUGAACCGAUUUGUGUAGGAUAGGUGGGAGGCAGAGAAGAGGCCACGCCAGUGGCCUUGGAGCCGACCUUGAAAUACCACCCUGAUUUGUUUGCGGUUCUAACCACGGACAGUGAUCCUGUCUUGGGACCGUGCAUGGUAGGCAGUUUGACUGGGGCGGUCUCCUCCUAAAGGGUAACGGAGGAGUACGAAGGUACGCUAGGUACGGUCGGAAAUCGUGCUGAUAGUGCAAUGGCAAAAGCGUGCUUGACUGCGAGAGCAACAACUCGAGCAGAUGCGAAAGCAGGUCAUAGUGAUCCGGUGGCUCUGAAUGGAAGGGCCAUCGCUCAACGGAUAAAAGGUACUCUGGGGAUAACAGGCUGAUACCGCCCAAGAGUUCAUAUCGACGGCGGUGUUUGGCACCUCGAUGUCGGCUCAUCUCAUCCUGGGGCUGUAGUCGGUCCCAAGGGUAUGGCUGUUCGCCAUUUAAAGAGGUACGUGAGCUGGGUUUAAAACGUCGUGAGACAGUUUGGUCCCUAUCUGCCGUGGGCGUUGGAAGAUUGACGGGGGCUGCUCCUAGUACGAGAGGACCGGAGUGGACGCACCUCUGGUGUACCGGUUGUCACGCCAGUGGCAUUGCCGGGUAGCUAAGUGCGGAAGAGAUAACCGCUGAAAGCAUCUAAGCGGGAAACUUGCCUGAAGAUGAGUCUUCCCGGAGGUUGAACCUCCCUCAAGAGUCGUCCGAGACCAGGACGUCGAUAGGUCAGGUGUGUAAGCGCUGUAAGGCGUUGAGCUAACUGAUACUAAUUGCUCGUGAGGCUUGAUCCU